RNAcentral lists this ribosomal RNA (385 nucleotides) under marine Metazoa environmental sample. RNAcentral describes it as "SSU rRNA". It matches the Rfam family "Eukaryotic small subunit ribosomal RNA", at positions 587 to 972 of the family's 1831-position model. Lineage: Eukaryota; Metazoa. The record is from RNAcentral.
AGCUCCAGUAGCGUAUAUUAAAGUUGUUGCAGUUAAAAAGCUCGUAGUUGGAUCUCGGGUCCGGGCUGGCGGUCCCGUUCGCGCGGGCACUGCCUGUUCCCGACCUACCUGCCGGCACGUCCCUCGGUGCUCUUCACUGAGUGCCCCGGGUGGCCGGCGCGUUUACUUUGAAAAAAUUAGAGUGUUCAAAGCAGGCCGCCGUGCCUGAAUACCGAUGCAUGGAAUAAUGGAAUAGGACCUCGGACUUCUAUUUUGCUGGUUUUCGGAUCUCGAGGUAAUGAUUAAGAGGGACGGCCGGGAUCGUUAGUAUUACGGUGUUAGAGGUGAAAUUCUUGGAUCGCCGUAAGACUGCCUGUUGCGAAAGCGUUCGACAAGAGCGUUUUCA